RNAcentral lists this ribosomal RNA (548 nucleotides) under uncultured bacterium. Its description in RNAcentral is "bacterial SSU rRNA". It matches the Rfam family "Bacterial small subunit ribosomal RNA", at positions 355 to 897 of the family's 1533-position model. The record is from RNAcentral.
UGGGGAAUAUUNNNCAAUGGGGGGAACCCUGAUGCAGCCAUGCCGCGUGAAUGAAGAAGGCCUUCGGGUUGUAAAGUUCUUUCGGUGACGAGGAAGGUUGAUAGGUUAAUAGCCUAUCAAAUUGACGUUAAUCACAGAAGAAGCACCGGCUAACUCCGUGCCAGCAGCCGCGGUAAUACGGGGGGUGCGAGCGUUAAUCGGAAUAACUGGGCGUAAAGGGCACGCAGGCGGUGACUUAAGUGAGAUGUGAAAGCCCCGAGCUUAACUUGGGAAUUGCAUUUCAUACUGGGUCGCUAGAGUACUUUAGGGGGGGGUAGAAUUCCACGUGUAGCGGUGAAAUGCGUAGAGAUGUGGAGGAAUACCGAAGGCGAAGGCAGCCCCUUGGGAAUGUACUGACGCUCAUGUGCGAAAGCGUGGGGAGCAAACAGGAUUAGAUACCCUGGUAGUCCACGCUGUAAACGAUGUCGAUUUGGGGAUUGGGCUUUGAGCUUGGUGCCCGUAGCUAACGUGAUAAAUCGACCGCCUGGGGAGUACGGCCGCAAGGUUAA